ACUCCUACGGGAGGCAGCAGUGGGGAAUAUUGCACAAUGGGGGAAACCCUGAUGCAGCCAUGCCGCGUGUGUGAAGAAGGCCUUCGGGUUGUAAAGCACUUUCAGUCGUGAGGAAGGUAGUGUAGUUAAUAGCUUCAUAUUUGACUGUUAGCGACAUGAAGAAGCAACGGCAUAACUCCGUAGCCAGCAGCCGCGGGUAAUACGGAGGGUGCGAGCGUUAAUCGGAAUUACUGGGCGUAAAGCGCAUGCAGGUGGCUUGUUAAGUCAGAUGUGAAAGCCCGGGGCUCAACCUCGGAAUUGCAUUUGAAACUGGCAGACUAGAGUACUGUAGAGGGGGGUAGAAUUUCAGGUGUAGCGGUGAAAUGCGUAGAGAUCUGAAGGAAUACCGGUGGCGAAGGCGGCCCCCUGGACAGAUACUGACACUCAGAUGCGAAAGCGUGGGGAGCAAACAGGAUUAGAUACCCUGGUAGGAUAGCGU
RNAcentral lists this ribosomal RNA (478 nucleotides) under uncultured bacterium. RNAcentral's name for it is "bacterial SSU rRNA". It matches the Rfam family "Bacterial small subunit ribosomal RNA", at positions 335 to 800 of the family's 1533-position model. The record is from RNAcentral.